Long non-coding RNA from Neofelis nebulosa (Clouded leopard), 557 nucleotides. RefSeq lists it as uncharacterized. The transcript has 3 exons. The record is from RefSeq and is a predicted model, not a curated record. NCBI's taxonomy places the organism in Eukaryota, Metazoa, Chordata, Mammalia, Carnivora, Felidae.
GUGGGGGGAGGGGCAGAGAGAGAGGGAGACACAGAAUCUGAAGAAGGCUCCAGGCUCUGAGCUGUCAGCCCAGAGCCCGACACAGGGCUCAAGCCCACGAAUCGUGAGAUCAACCUGAACUGAAGUCAGAUGCUGUACCAACUGAGCCACCCAGGAGGCAAGCAGAGUGGGUGUUGUUUCUUCAUUGUGCAGAAGAGGAAAGUGAGGCCCGGCGAGAAGGACUGUUGGACUGUCGGGCUCAGGGCUCCUAAAUGCAAAAUCAUGUCAAGAAUCCCAGUGUCCUCUCCCUGACCAUUGAUUUCCCCCCAGUGACAUUUUAAUAGAAUUGCAAGGCCCAGUGUUGUUAAUGGGCGAGCAGACCUCCUGCCAUCCACCUCUGCAAUUUUCUUCCUUCUCAUCUCUGCCCACCUUUCUGUGCUGACUCCAAUACACAUCCUGAAUCCUGGCCUUCCUUUGUGCAGUCCAUUCUUCUCUGAUACAUGAUAUUCUGUCCCUUUAAUACUGUUCACAAAGUGCUUUCUUCAUUUCUUUUUCACUAAUAAACGAUAAGGAAGCUA